RNAcentral lists this ribosomal RNA (1152 nucleotides) under Triticum aestivum (bread wheat). Its description in RNAcentral is "partial small subunit ribosomal RNA". Lineage: Eukaryota; Viridiplantae; Streptophyta; Magnoliopsida; Poales; Poaceae. The record is from RNAcentral.
GCCGACGGCGAUGCAGCGAGCGGAACCAUCGGCGGCCUUCCUUUCCACCUCACGGAGGAGAUCCUCUGCCGCAUCAGCCCGCUCGAGUCGGUACGCUUGGCCGCCGUCUGCAGGUCCUGGGCGGCGACCGUCUCCGAGCGGCUCGCGAGACCCACCCCGCACCUGUUGGCGCUCGAGGUCCUACUCGGGCCCACAAGCAGUACCUGCUCGACCCAGCAGCGCCGCCACGGCGCCAUCUUCUCCUUGCCGAUCGACCAAGAGGAGUCGCCGGCGCCGGUGAUGCCCGCCCGCUUGCCCGCCGCGCUCACCCACGCGACGGACGAUAUAGAGUUGUCUGGCGCCUUGCCCUGCGGCGACUUCUCCUUUGCGGACGACAACCGCGUCGUCCUCGUCAACCCCGUUACCGGCACGCUCCAGAGCAUCGUGAUGUAUGGCCCCCGGCGAAGGUUUGAGGUGGAACCCCAGCUGAGGGCCGCUGCCGGCGCCAACGCGUUGUUCGUUACCGAGUGUCUUGGGAGCGUCUCUCUGCUGUGGUGCGAGGAGGAGCGGUGGUUCGAGGAGAAGCUCCUCCGGCCCGAAGUGUUCAGAGCUUGCGACGGCUUUGUGGCCUACGCCGGCGGCAUCUUCUACGCUAAGCAUUACAACGGCUUCACCUACAUUGUCGACCGGCGUGGGCCGCUGCCAUGGGGGCCGAAGAGGCUCCGUGCGCCAAGCAUUCUCGAGCAGUACUCCCCGAUCCCUGGGUACAGCUGCCUCCGCCUCCCCUACGCCCACCUGCUCGUGUCAGAAGGGGAGGUCAUGUUCGUCGGUCUGGUGCUCGCAGCACAAGAACCCGGACGCCCCAAAUCCAUCGGUGGCUUCGAGGUGUACACGCUGGAUCUCAAGGUGACACGGUGGGUGAAAGUGGAGAGGCUCGCCGAUGACCGGGCGCUGUUCGUGAGCGAGCAAUCAUCGUUCACGGUGCGCGCAUCAGAGACACCGGGGUGCAGGGCCAACUGCAUCUACUUUGUGACCGAGCUCGACAAGCAUUCCUACAGCAACAGCAUUUGGGGCGUGUAUUCCAUGGAGGAGCAGAAGGUGCUGUUUCAACGCCCCGUCGGUGGUUCGCCGGGGAAGUACAAAGCUGCGCGGUGGUUCUUCCCUGGGGUCGGU